Molecule: long non-coding RNA, 1124 nt
Filed under: Bemisia tabaci
Lineage: Eukaryota; Metazoa; Arthropoda; Insecta; Hemiptera; Aleyrodidae
Description: lncRNA ENSSSA1UGG012046
Source: RNAcentral
CGCGAAUAAAGUUAGGGCCCAGAAAUGCAGCCAACCUAUGAAUUUCAAUUAUCCAGAGCUAUUAACUAAUUCAAUUGAAACGAGCCGUCGUUUAUAAAGCAAGUAUUUGACCUAUCUUUUGCAUAAAUUUACUAAUUUUUGCAGAAGAACGCUUAUUUAUGUACAUUCUUGACCGUCUUGGUUAGAAUUGGAAUCAGCAGACUGGCAGUAAAAUUUUGUGUGUUAGAAGUUGGUUAGAAGGAUGGCUGCACUUUUGGGCCCUAAGCCCUCCAUGAAGCGAUCUGUCCAUACUCUCGCUAUACAGGUACUCUACAUAAUUGUAAAUGGGAAAGAAUGUUUCACAUGAUGGAGUAGCCAUCACAUAAUUGACUUUGCGAUUGGGUCAUUUUUUAUACCAAUUAAAGAAGAACCGAGUAACAUUGCAGUAAUCCUAUUCAGUUAAGGUCAUUGAAUGUAGCCAAUUAUUCAAAUAACUAAACACAAAAAUUUACAUUCAAUUAGCGGUCCAUUAUGUCAGAUUUAUCAUUGAAUUCUUAUUGAUAGAUUCGAGCGGAGAAGUCGUUUCCCUCUGGAAGUCACACUGACCCAUUUCCAUUAGUUACAUACUCUUUCCUGUAUCGUUCGAAGUGCUCUGUGUCAUAUUUGAAGGAAUGUUUGGUAGAAAUACGUCCAUUUCAGCAAUGCAUUUAUAGAAGUUCAAUUAAAUUCCAUUACAAAAUGAAUUUCUAUAAAAUGGAUUUGUUUGGGACCAAACUGAAUAUCUGGCCUACUCUUCCUCCAUUGAAAUACGUACCCAGAAGAAUUAGUCAUUUAAAUUAUUUGUAAAUAUAAAUACCCAUCUCAGUGAUUUUCAUACGUUAAUGUAAUGCUUAAUAUUAAUCCUGUUGAAUUUUAAUAGAGAGUAGCAAUAAAUAUAUUUUUAAAGCCUUUUUUGUGCGUGAAUUUUUCUACACAGUAUCAUGACGACGAGCGGACGUAAGGUUUUUGCAAGCUUUCUAGAAUUUGAUAAAAAUUGGGCAAACUUACCGCGUCCUUGUAACCUUACAGAAGAUUGCUAAACACUCGCUUGACAAGCAAUUGUGGUAGAACUUGUUGCAAAAUUUAAAAAAAAUAAUGUUAACCUU